AGGGAGGAGGGGUGGGAGGGUGGUCGAGGUGUAAGGAUGUGGGGUAGUGUCUUUGGGGAAAGGGGUUCCGUUAGAAUUUCCGCUCUGGGGCAUGAGGGGUCUGCGGGGCAAGCCGCAUAGCGUCCUGAGGAGACGCCGCAAGGCCCGGCGCCGGAGCGCCCGAGGCCGGGCCCGGGUCCACGGGUGGUCGCACCUGGACCGAGGAAGCAGAGGGGCACAGAUGCUGCGAGAAAAUGUGUGGGUGCCCUGGAACGGGCUCAUUGUGAUUGGGAAGAGAAUGGAGCUCCUGGGUAGAAAUACCCAAAAGCCUCCAGUGGGCGACCCAAAGCUUGACCCUCAGCACUGGAGACCGGAAGAUGUGGGAAAAGUGGUCUUGAAAGCAAAGUCAGGCCAGAGUCCGGAAAGGACGGAUAUGAAGUUAGUGCACGGUGUAGCAAGUUCAUUACAGGCUCCAGCAGGUUUGGGGGAAAACAGCCCAAAGGAGAUGGGGGGGAAACAAGAAAUUCGAGACAAAAUAGGCGCGGAGUCUGAGAGUGCAGAGACUACAGCAGGGUCUAGGAAGGGGUCUGGCUUUAAAGAGAGGUUGAAAUUUAGUGGGGUGGGGAUCAGAGGAGAGGACCUGAGAUCCGGACCACAUACACCAGAGCAGAAUGAGGAGGAGCUGAGGUCGAGUGGAGAGCAGCUGAGUGGAGAGAAGCCUAGGUCAAGUGAAGAACAGCUGAGGUCAAGUGGAGAGCAGCUGAGUGGAGAGAAGUUGACCUCAAGUGAGAAGCUGAGUCUGAGUGAAGAGAAGCUGAGGUCAAGUGGAGAGAAGGAGGGCUCCAGGGAAGAGAAGCCAGAAAGUAGCAGAGAGGAUUUGAGAUCCACUGGAGAUAAACUGUCAAGUGCAGACAAGCUGGAGGGUUCAGGGAUGGAGAGUGUAACUGAAGAGACAACUGAAAGAGAGCUAGAAGUGACUAAUGAUGAAAAACAGAGGAAAAUUACCGAUGCUGAGAUGGAAAAUCCUUUUGAAAGGGUGGAAGGGAGUGAUGAGCUACAAGAGACUGAGGAAGCAGUGGGAGUUGAGAAGGAUGUCUUGGGCGGAGUGAAUGAUCCUCCUGAGGAAUCUGUUUCUAUUGAAGAGAAAGAGGUUACAGAUGAAGGUGAUGAUGAGUGAGGCCGAUGAAGGAGUGGAGCUAGCGAAGGAAACAGAGACAGCGGAAGUGAUGAAAGUCAAGGAGGAGAAAUUAGAGCCAAGCAGAGAGGUACUGACUGUGAAGAAGUAAAUAUAAGAGAAGAAAGGAGAGGCUGGGAAUGAAGAGCUUUUGAGGAUGGAGGUGGAGGCUAGGGCCAAAGGAAAUGAAGAAGAAUGAGAACAAGGGGAAUGAGAAGAUUUCAAGGAGAAAAAAAAAAAAAAAAGAUCUGAUAAUGUGUUGCUACCUGGAGGAAAUAUGGAGAUUGUUCUCUUGGAGAAGAGCUGUGACUGACGGGCUUGUUGGGAAAUGUUUGAGAAAUGGAUUUGGGAGGGGCUAGAGGAUUUCAUUUAGCGUGUGAUUGGUUUAUAAGAUAGAGAAGAAUGCAUAGUGAGAAAAAUGGGGAAUGACAGAGGAUAAAGGGUAGAUAAUGAAGGCUGUGAAGGAAGAUGCAACCUGGAGUGAGCCAAGAAAUCUUCCGAGAGAUGAUCCUGGAGAGAAACAAGGGGCUCCAAAGUGACACAGGCAAGAGAAAAGAAAGAAGUGGGAAAAAAAAAAAACUUCAUUUUGGCCAACCACAUCAUCUCAUAGCUUCCAGAGAAAGAGACCAUGGGAGGUCUCUGCCUUCCCAGGAUCAUCUACUACGAGGCUCCUCUGGUGAUUCUCCGGGCACGAAGAAAUCGUUGCCUCUCUUACGGGAUGCCUACACAGGCAUGAGGUCAAGACAGUUGUAUGGGUCUCUCAGACUGCAUAUAAGUCAUGAACUGAAUAACCAGACUUAUUCUUUGGCUGGAUUACACUUUCUCCUGGGAUACCAGAUUCAUUCCACUGAGGCCAUGGAAACAAAAAAAUGAAGAUUGAGACACUACAACAGAUGGCAGCCACCUUGUGACCUCCGACAUCAGCCUUCCUCAUACAUUUCCUCUGCCAAAGACUCUUUCGAAGUCCCCUGGAAGUUUUCAUUGCAAAAUCAAAAAGGGAUCAUUGUAGGAAAAGUAUAAAAGAUAGAUGAACAAACAAGACAAUAAAACCCACCAGGACAUGAACCCUCUUCACACCUCCUGGAAGAUCACAUCGAAGGCCCAGGACCAGCAGCCACGCUCCUCCUUGGUUGUCCAUCUAGCAGGGGGGACAUGAUGGAAGAACACAGAACUGAGUCCCCAGAGUGAUCACGUCUCCCCAGGUGACCCUAGGUAGAGACCCACAGGAAGCUCUACCCCCUUCUGUCUUUCAGUAUCAGAGAGCCUGAGCGAAGCUCCUGGAAGUGGGAGCCGGGCCACAGCAGCCACCCAGGCAACGGCGGAGGGAGGAGUGACAGCAGGACUCACCCUCCCCAGAACGACGAGGGCAGACGCUCACCUGUGCCCUCCAGGUUUAGACCCGGACCCAACCAUCUGGGCCGAUCCUGUCUCGAGAGAGGCCUGCACAGCUCCCUGCUCUGGUCACCAGCAGCAGGUGGCACAGACCACCCGGAAGCCCUCCUCGGCCAUCCCCUGUAGGGACAGCCCCUCACACUGCUCCCGCAAGGGCCACCAGAACUCUGGUGGGGAAAGUCACCAGGAUGCAAGGAAGUCAAUGAUUUGAACAAACGGAAUUUCUUUGUCCUUUGUAAAAGUCAACACAUGAUCUGUUACUGAUUGGGAUGUGAAAUAAAACUAAAAAUAACAGCACACUGAGUCUCCCGCAAGGCUCAGC
RNA transcript from Mustela lutreola (European mink), 2867 nucleotides. RefSeq lists it as uncharacterized. The record is from RefSeq and is a predicted model, not a curated record. Lineage: Eukaryota; Metazoa; Chordata; Mammalia; Carnivora; Mustelidae. The transcript is spliced from 7 exons.